GACGAACGCUGGCGGCGUGCCUAAUACAUGCAAGUCGAGCGGACGGAUGGGAGCUUGCUCCCAGACCGUCAGCGGCGGACGGGUGAGUAACACGUGGGCAACCUGCCUGUAAGACUGGGAUAACUCCGGGAAACCGGGGCUAAUACCGGAUAACUCUUUCCUUCACAUGAGGGAAAGCUGAAAGAUGGCAUCUCGCUAUCACUUACAGAUGGGCCCGCGUCGCAUUAGCUAGUUGGUGAGGUAACGGCUCACCAAGGCGACGAUGCGUAGCCGACCUGAGAGGGUGAUCGGCCACACUGGGACUGAGACACGGCCCAGACUCCUACGGGAGGCAGCAGUAGGGAAUCUUCCGCAAUGGACGAAAGUCUGACGGAGCAACGCCGCGUGAGUGAUGAAGGUUUUCGGAUCGUAAAACUCUGUUGUCAGGGAAGAACAAGUACCGGAGUAACUGCCGGUACCUUGACGGUACCUGACCAGAAAGCCACGGCUAACUACGUG
Molecule: ribosomal RNA, 498 nt
Filed under: uncultured bacterium
Lineage: Bacteria
Description: partial 16S ribosomal RNA
Rfam family: Bacterial small subunit ribosomal RNA
Source: RNAcentral